Molecule: long non-coding RNA, 2099 nt
Organism: Tupaia belangeri chinensis (Chinese tree shrew)
Lineage: Eukaryota; Metazoa; Chordata; Mammalia; Scandentia; Tupaiidae
Exons: 4
Source: RefSeq, a predicted model, not a curated record
CAGGGGCAGAGUGAAUGCGGCAGAGUGGAGUAAGAACAUCCCAGAAGUAGAUGGUGUGCAUGCAAAUUGCACAGGAGCUUUUGGCUACUCCCAGGACUUCGGCUUUUGCUCUGGCUAAUGGGAAACUGUUGGGGAGUUUUGAGAAGAGGAGUCACACGAUCCUACAUUAUAAAGAGAUCCGAAUUUCUAUUAUGAGGCUUUUCCCAUAAUUCAGGUCAUGAAAGAAAUUUUCAAAAAAGAAAGAAUGACUCCAGAAAGUUUGGCCUGGGCACCUAAAGAGAUGGAGCUGCCAUUUACUGAGAUAUGGACCACAAUGAAAAAAAAGAAAGAAAGAAAAAAAAAGGGCCUGCAGAUUUCCACAUGCUUCUCACCUCCUUCAAGUCUUCAGAAAUGUUUCCUGUGAGAGAGGACUCUGCAGAAUAUCUUCCAUAAAACAGUACCAUCUUCCAUCACCUCUCACCUCCCUUUAUUUCCCACCUGGGACUUAUCCUCACCUGACAAGGUGGUUUCCGGACCAUGGUGAUGGAGUCAUGGAUGGUACCAUGAGUUAAUGGUGUCCUAAAGGGAGUUAGAAUUGCCUAACCCAGUCUAUGUCACCCAAAAUUCUUAGUCAUUUGCAUAGUUCCUCCAAAUACCCUUGUACCUUGUUCCACAUUUCCACAGCAGAUGAAGUUUAAAGUAAUUUCGAAUCUAACGGUAUCCAUAACCCUGACCCUAUGAGAAUAACAGGACCACCCCUGUCCCAGCCAUGCAAGUUUCCUCUAUUCUGAAUCACUUACUCUUCUCCCAGGAUACAUCCUACUUUCUUACUCUGUAGGAGCUCUACACAAUCUAUAUCUUCUGCCAAGAAUGUGCUAGCCUGACUUCUUUGACUGGCAAACUCCCAAGCAUCCUUAAAACCUCCAUAGGAGGACAGUCCUUUUUAUGCUGCACACUGCUUACGUACAGCGCAUCCCUUCCUCUGUGUACCAUUGCUGUGCCUCCUAUAUGCUUUGCUUUUCGUUCCUGCGAAUCAGAUUUCUUGCCUCACCUGCUGACUAUGAGCUCCUUUGUAGCAACGCUAUAGCCCCACGUCUUAGUCCAUUUAGGUUGAUACAACGAAACACCAUAGACUAGGUUGCUACUAUGGCUUGAAUGUGUCCCUCUCAAAGUUUAUGUAUUGAAAUCUGGUGAUUUCAAUCAUUUUUAUAGUUGAGAGAAUGGAAACUUAAUCUGAGUAUGGUGUUGGGUAUUAUUAGGCAUCAGGACUGGGCCUCUGUGAUAGGGUACUCGUGUGUUUAUAAGGAGAUGCAAGUAUGUGCUCACUCCUGCCCUGUCAGGAGACACCCUCCACCACGUUAUCCACCAGUAGGAAAACUUUCACCAGAUGAAGCCCCUUGAACUUGGACCCCCAAAACUGUGAGCUAAGUAAACCUCUAUUCUUUUUAAAUUACCCAGACUCAGCUAUUUCUGCUACUGGCAACAGAAUGGACUAAAAUAGUGACUUAAAAAGAAAAAAAAAAUUAUUUCUUUUGGUUCUAGGGUCUAAAAAGUUCAAGUCAGGCUCCAGCAGAUUCAGGGUCUGGUUCAUACUGCCUUUUGUUGCAUCCUCACAAAGUAGGAAAGGCUAUUAACUCUCUGCAGUCUUUAAAUUUAUUUUUCUUUAUUCCUGAAAGAGUAAGUGAGAGUAAAAGAAAGAGAACUGAGCAGCCUCCACAGGGUCUGGUCAUGCAGUGAUCCCCUUGCUUCGGUCCUCUAGCACAUCAGCCAUUGGGCACAUGCAUGCCCAGUGUGUUUUGGGCCGACUGGGUUGAGAAUUUGAACUACAGUUGUCAUGUGGGAUCCAGCUUCUCUCCAGCAGUACAUUUCUGCAUCAUAGGGAGCCCGCCCACUCUGGCCUCCUUUAUGAGGGCACCUAACCACCUCCUAACGCUGUCACUUUGGGAGUAAGACAUCAACAUACAAAUUUGGGGGUGUGGUCCAAACAUUCAGACCAUAGCACCCAUUAGUAAUAUAAAAAUGUUUAUUUAUAUUAAGUGCUUACUGCUUAAUUAAAUAAAAGAAUGAGUUUCCAAUAGUUUGCAGUCUGCUACAUCUGAUGAUUCAUUUUAUCUCCUAGG